GUGCUCGCUUUGGCAACACAUAUACUAAAAUUGGAACGAUACAGAGAAGAUUAGCACGGCCCCUGUGCAAGGAUGACACGCAAAUUCGAGAAGUGUUCCAUAUUUUU
This 107-nucleotide small nuclear RNA is filed under the name Rhinolophus ferrumequinum (greater horseshoe bat). Lineage: Eukaryota; Metazoa; Chordata; Mammalia; Chiroptera; Rhinolophidae. The record is from RNAcentral.